UACGGAGGGUGCGAACGUUAAUCGGAAUCACUGGGCGUAAAGCGCGCGUAGGCGGUUUGUUAAGUGGGAUGUGAAAUCCCCGGGCUUAACCUGGGAAUUGCAUUUCAAACUGGCCGACUAGAGUACGGUAGAGGGAGGUAGAAUUUCCUGUGUAGCGGUGAAAUGCGUAGAUAUAGGAAGGAAUACCAGUGGCGAAAGCGGCCUCCUGGAUCGAUACUGACGCUGAGGCGCGAAAGCGUGGGGAGCAAACAGG
Molecule: ribosomal RNA, 253 nt
Filed under: uncultured bacterium
Lineage: Bacteria
Description: partial 16S ribosomal RNA
Rfam family: Bacterial small subunit ribosomal RNA
Source: RNAcentral